GUGGGGAAUAUUGGACAAUGGGCGAAAGCCUGAUCCAGCCAUGCCGCGUGUGUGAAGAAGGUCUUCGGAUUGUAAAGCACUUUAAGUUGGGAGGAAGGGCAGUAAGUUAAUACCUUGCUGUUUUGACGUUACCGACAGAAUAAGCACCGGCUAACUUCGUGCCAGCAGCCGCGGUAAUACGAAGGGUGCAAGCGUUAAUCGGAAUUACUGGGCGUAAAGCGCGCGUAGGUGGUUUUGUAAGUUGGAGGUGAAAUCCCCGGGCUCAAACUGGGAACUGCCUCCAAAACUACUGAGCUAGAGUACGGUAGAGGGUAGUGGAAUUUCCUGUGUAGCGGUGAAAUGCGUAGAUAUAGGAAGGAACACCAGUGGCGAAGGCGACUACCUGGACUGAUACUGACACUGAGGUGCGAAAGCGUGGGGAGCAAACAGGAUUAGAAACCCUGGUAGUCC
This 450-nucleotide ribosomal RNA is filed under the name uncultured bacterium. RNAcentral describes it as "partial 16S ribosomal RNA". It matches the Rfam family "Bacterial small subunit ribosomal RNA", at positions 354 to 796 of the family's 1533-position model. The record is from RNAcentral.